Molecule: long non-coding RNA, 991 nt
Organism: Ricinus communis (castor bean)
Lineage: Eukaryota; Viridiplantae; Streptophyta; Magnoliopsida; Malpighiales; Euphorbiaceae
Exons: 2
Source: RefSeq, a predicted model, not a curated record
UUCUUAUGUUAAUAAAUCUCCAUUAAUUUUUUUAAAGAUAUAAUCAUCUUAUUGUAAAGUUAAAUGGAAAGUAUUUUAUAUAAAAAUUUUGAAUUGAAAAAAUAAAAAGUAUAAUUUUAUCAAUAAUAAAAAUAAAAAAUUACCAAAAUCAAGAAAUACUGAAGAAAAAUCUCACUUGUAUUUCCUACAAUAGUGUUGGCAGAAUUCUUUUUCUUUAUAAUUUGAAGAUUAUUUUAAUUACAAAUUGACUCUUUAGUCUUUAAAUGGAUGUGGUUGUAAAAAUAUUAAUAAAAAACUUAUUACUAUCAACGCUGCUGCAAUUCUAUAAAAUUUUAUAAAUGUAUUCAUAAAAAAAAAAAAUCCAUAAAGAAUAUAAUCAAAUUUAUAGAAAAAGGAAAUAAAAAGAAAUUCUAAAAGAGAGAAGAAAACACAUAAAAUAUAUAUGUUGAUAUAUAAUUUCUAAAAGUAAAAUUGAGUGAGAGAAGAAGAAAAAGUGAAUAUAUUAAAUUGAAGUGGAGAGAUCAAGAGCUCGAAAAAGGCAUCGUUUUGUCUUGGAUGUAGCAAACUGACUUUUACAUACAAAAGUUGAGUCAUAUUCCUCAUCUUUGCACCGCCACUGCCAUGGACAAAAGCAUCCAAAAUAAAAAGGCUACUAAAUCAAUAUAUACAGCAAAAGAUACGUUACCUACCAAAACUGGAAGCAUUGGCAUGGAAAACUAUUGCAUAGGGUAAAGAUUUACAUUCGUGAAAAGGAUGAUCUAUUCAGAUGAGGAUCCAACUACAUAUUGCAAUGCCGAAUCCAUAUUGUAUAUAUGAAAGAGGGUGACCUUUUUGCUUCUUUUAUGAUACAAUUUUAUAUAUAUAUAUAUAUGCUACAAGCAUUGUUUAACUUGGCUUCCUUCUGAUUGGAGCUAGAGAGGAGUUCCCUCCAAAUGUCUAUUUUCUGAAAUUUUCUAGCCUUGAGCUAAAGAAAUGAAAUGGUUUUGCACCA